RNAcentral lists this ribosomal RNA (526 nucleotides) under uncultured bacterium. RNAcentral's name for it is "bacterial SSU rRNA". It matches the Rfam family "Bacterial small subunit ribosomal RNA", at positions 8 to 524 of the family's 1533-position model. The record is from RNAcentral.
AGAGUUUGAUCCUGGCUCAGGAUGAACGCUGGCGGCGUGCCUAACACAUGCAAGUCGAACGAAGCAUAUCAGUGACAAGAAGCAGCUUGCUGCGGACAAGAACAGAUAUGACUUAGUGGCGGACGGGUGAGUAACGCGUGGGGAACCUGCCUCAUACAGGGGGAUAACAGUUAGAAAUGACUGCUAAUACCGCAUAAGCGCACAGUAUCGCAUGAUACAGUGUGAAAAGCUCCGGCAGUAUGAGAUGGACCCGCGUCUGAUUAGCCAGUUGGUGGGGUAAAGGCCUACCAAAGCGAUGAUCAGUAGCCGGCCUGAGAGGGCGACCGGCCACAUUGGGACUGAGACACGGCCCAAACUCCUACGGGAGGCAGCGGUGGGGGAUAUUGCACAAUGGGGGAAACCCUGACGCAGCGACGCCGCGUGAGUGAAGAAGUAUUUCGGUAUGUAAAGCUCUAUCAGCAGGGAAGAAAAUGACGGUACCUGACUAAGAAGCCCCGGCUAACUACGUGCCAGCAGCCGCGGUAAA